Molecule: long non-coding RNA, 305 nt
Organism: Nicotiana tabacum (common tobacco)
Lineage: Eukaryota; Viridiplantae; Streptophyta; Magnoliopsida; Solanales; Solanaceae
Source: RefSeq, a predicted model, not a curated record
UCCCCCUUAGCGCCUAAAAAUUCGAGACAAACUGCACAAGGCAAUAACUACUGGCCAUCACGACCAAGGUCACCUCCCCUCAAGAAUUUGGAAACCAAUUUGGACGCGUCGCAUACCCUUCAGCGCACAACAGGUAAGUGAUAUAUUUUUACUACACUUAACGCCUAAUAACCCCAAUAUCAUCUAUCCCCUCUCAACUUAAACACACUUCCUCGCACACCUCAUCUCACUGUUGCUGCUCGAAUUGAUCAAACACUCAGGUACAUAGGUUCACAAUGGCGGCAACAAGAAAAACGUCCAAGCAA